AGCUCAAAUUUGAAAUCUGGCUUAGGCCCGAGUUGUAAUUUGCAGAGGAUGUUUCUGGCGCGGUGCCAUCCGAGUUCCCUGGAACGGGACGCCAUAGAGGGUGAGAGCCCCGUAUGGAUGGCCACCAAGCCUGUGUGAAACUCCUUCAACGAGUCGAGUAGUUUGGGAAUGCUGCUCAAAAUGGGAGGUAAAUCUCUUCUAAAGCUAAAUACUGGCCAGAGACCGAUAGCGCACAAGUAGAGUGAUCGAAAGAUGAAAAGCACCUUGAAAAGGGGGUUAAACAGUACGUGAAAUUGUUGAAAGGGAAGCGCUCAUGACCAGACUUGUGCCGGGCAGCUCAUCCGGGGUUCUCCCCGGUGCACUCUGCCCGGUUCAGGCCAGCAUCGGUUUUUGCUGGGGGAUAAGAACGGUAGGAACGUGGCCCUCUCUCGGGAGGGUGUUAUAGCCUACCGUACGAUACCCUAGCGGAGACCGAGGUUCGCGCUCCGCAAGGAUGCUGGCGUAAUGGUCAUCAGCGACCCGUCUUGAAACACGGACCAAGGAGUCGUCCAUUAGAGCGAGCGUUUGGGUGUCAAACCCGCACGCGUAAUGAAAGUGAAAUUAGGUGAGAGCUUCGGCGCAUCAUCGACCGAUCCUGAUGUUCUCGGAUGGAUUUGAGUAAGAGUUUUAACGGACGGACCCGAAAGACAGUGAACUAUGCUUGUAUAGGGUGAAGCCAGAGGAAACUCUGGUGGAGGCUCGCAGCGGUUCUGACGUGCAAAUCGAUCGUCAAAUAUGAGCAUGGGGGCGAAAGACUAAUCGAACUGUCUAGUAGCUGGUUACCGCCGAAG
This 830-nucleotide ribosomal RNA is filed under the name Coniella fragariae. Its description in RNAcentral is "eukaryotic LSU rRNA". It matches the Rfam family "Eukaryotic large subunit ribosomal RNA", at positions 106 to 966 of the family's 3401-position model. The record is from RNAcentral. Lineage: Eukaryota; Fungi; Ascomycota; Sordariomycetes; Diaporthales; Schizoparmaceae.